RNAcentral lists this ribosomal RNA (474 nucleotides) under Triticum aestivum (bread wheat). Its description in RNAcentral is "partial small subunit ribosomal RNA". The record is from RNAcentral. Lineage: Eukaryota; Viridiplantae; Streptophyta; Magnoliopsida; Poales; Poaceae.
AUGGUAUCAGAUGCUCCCAAUCUGAUCAACCCCUUUUCACAGAUUCCCGAUCCUGCUUCCGCUGCAGCCAUGAAAGACCAACCCAUUCCUCCUCCCCCACCUGCCGUCGGCGAUGCUGCCCCGCUUGCCCGUGCACCACCGCAGCCGCCGCCGGCCUCUGCACCACCUGCUCCCCUCCUUGCACCUAGUGCGCCUGCGCCCCUGCACCUGGCUAUUCCCACCACGACCCUGCUGCCGGCCUCUGUCCUCCAGACGAUCGACAUCCGCCGGCAUGUGUCCGUCACUCUCGACCUCCUCGCCGGCAACCACACCCAGUGGCGCCACUUCGACACGGCGAUCGCCAUGUUCGGCCUCCACGACCACAUCGACGCCAAGGCGGUUCCGCGCUUCGAUGACCCCGAGUGGGUGAUGGCGGACCACGCCGUCGUACAUUGGCUUAACACCACGUCUCGCCGAAGCUGCUUGAUGUUGUGA